Molecule: microRNA precursor, 98 nt
Filed under: Marmota monax (woodchuck)
Lineage: Eukaryota; Metazoa; Chordata; Mammalia; Rodentia; Sciuridae
Source: RNAcentral
AGUGGGAUAGCUGGGUCAAAUGGUGGUUCCAAGUUUCCUGAGGGCUGUCCACACUGCUUUCCAGAGUGGUUGCACCAAUUUGCAGUCCUACCAGCAAU